CCUACGGGAGGCUGCAGUGAGGAAUAUUGGUCAAUGGGCGCGAGCCUGAACCAGCCAAGUCGCGUGAGGGAGGACGGCCCUACGGGUUGUAAACCUCUUUUGCCGGGGAGCAACGGGCGUCACGUGUGGCGUCACUGAGAGUACCCGGAGAAAAAGCAUCGGCUAACUCCGUGCCAGCAGCCGCGGUAAUACGGAGGAUGCGGGCGUUAUCCGGUUUUAUGGGGUUUAAAGGGUGCGUAGGCGGAUCGUAAACUCAGUGGUCAAGUUGAGGGGCUAAACACCUUCGCGCCAUUGAAACUGGCGAUCUUGAGUGGAAGAGAGGUAUGCGGAAUGCGUGGUGUAGCGGUGAAAUGCAUAGAUAUCACGCAGAACCCCGAUUGCGAAGGCAGCAUGCCGGCUUCCGACGGACGCUGAAGCACGAAAGCGUGGGGAUCGAACAGGAUUAGAUACCCUUGUAGUC
Molecule: ribosomal RNA, 460 nt
Filed under: uncultured bacterium
Lineage: Bacteria
Description: partial 16S ribosomal RNA
Rfam family: Bacterial small subunit ribosomal RNA
Source: RNAcentral